Molecule: long non-coding RNA, 1462 nt
Organism: Helianthus annuus (common sunflower)
Lineage: Eukaryota; Viridiplantae; Streptophyta; Magnoliopsida; Asterales; Asteraceae
Exons: 5
Source: RefSeq, a predicted model, not a curated record
GCAGUCACAUAUCCUAAAGGAUCUUCUGGUGAUGGAACAUUCACAGUUGACCAGGUCAAAUUCAAGAACAGAGAAAAUUCUCAAGGUGUCAAUUUUCAGGGAAAGUAUCUUGAGUAAAGUGCAGUAAAACUCGCGCAUAUAAUUGCUGAAUCAGCUAAUAACAGACAAAGUGUCGAUGACAUAAGUGAUUUAUUCAUGAAAAUCAGUUGAAUUCAAUAUUCAAAGUGAAGGUCUUAAGAAAUUGUCAAACAUUGGACCAGAGGCUAAGUUAAAGGAAAGGGUCAAAGUGCUUGAUGAUGAACAAGAUCAUUUCUGUUGAAGAAAGAAGAUAUUCUGCAAAUCAACAACACACAUCCAAAAUACUUCAUAAUUGGUGGAAAGGAGGCUACAUCUAUUUCCAUUAUUUGGUUCAUUUACAUGCUCUGCAAACAUCCUGAGAUUCAAGAUAUGGUUGAAUAAGAAAUCAAAGAAGCAACAAACAUGAGAAACAAAUUCAAGAUAAGCUUCAUGUAACUUGGAACAAAACUCUCGCGAGUCUAUCCUGCAUCUCAGUGUGAUAGGGAUACGGAGCUAAUCCAUGAUCUAGCAGACUGCAGACUCGUAUUUGGUGCAACUAGACAAAUUGAAGUUAUACGAGGAUAAGUAAUGGACAAAUGUCUCAACAAGCCACACGCGUGGACAAAUGCUAUAGGCUGUCAAUUUCAAGGCAUCUUGGUGGUGGGAUAAGACUUUGGGACCAAUAGGUCUUGGGUUCGAUUCCCACAAAGGGGGUUUUCCCAUAUUUAUUGGGUUUCCUCCUGAAUUGGUGUAUAGGCAUUAUGCCUAGUGGAGAUGGAUAUGAUCGGGUGGUUCCGCUGGUGGCACGAUGAUACUCUAGUGCCCGUCAGUGAUCCAAAUUUGCCGUUCAAAAAAAAAAUUCAAGGAACUUAUAAUUGAUGAAGAAUUAAUGGAGAUUACCUCUAAUGGUAAGUUACCACUAAUGAGGAUUAUGGAACUAGCCUAUGAUGUCAAUUGUCAAGUUACCAUCUGGAUGAAGAUCAAGGGAACUUACCACUGAAGCAAGUUACCUCUAGUGAAGAUUGAUGAAGUCUCGCUAAUGAAGAAGAGAUGCCACGUGUUAGCCUAUCAUUUGACGAAGACAAUCUGUUGAGAGGAUGUUAUACAUAAUUCUCACUUGUCAAUUUCGUACGUCUCGACAAGAAUAUAGAUACACGAGUUUGCAUUGAUAUUAUUAUCACUUGGCCCCAUAGUUUAAUGCGUCAAGCAGUUGAGUGUGAAGUCGGUGCAUGAACUUAUGUGUGCAAAUUCAGAGAAAAUUUGCAUGUCACCCUCUUCAUAGCUAGAACGUUAGCUAGAAAACCAUAUGUAAAUUCAAUUUUAAUUUAUAACUAGUUUUACAUGAUGUAUUCAAACAAUCAAUUUUGAUUAAUACUUGUGCUUAUAGCAAUUGUUCUUCUACUCU